RNAcentral lists this ribosomal RNA (496 nucleotides) under uncultured bacterium. RNAcentral's name for it is "partial 16S ribosomal RNA". It matches the Rfam family "Bacterial small subunit ribosomal RNA", at positions 28 to 507 of the family's 1533-position model. The record is from RNAcentral.
GAUGAACGCUGGCGGCGUGCCUAAUACAUGCAAGUCGAGCGAACGGACGAGGAGCUUGCUCCUCUGACGUUAGCGGCGGACGGGUGAGUAACACGUGGAUAACCUACCUAUAAGACUGGGAUAACUUCGGGAAACCGGAGCUAAUACCGGAUGAUAUUUUGAACCGCAUGGUUCAAUAGUGAAAGACGGUCUUGCUGUCACUUAUAGAUGGAUCCGCGCUGCAUUAGCUAGUUGGUAAGGUAACGGCUUACCAAGGCAACGAUGCAUAGCCGACCUGAGAGGGUGUCGGGCACACUGGGACUUGGGAAACGUCCAAACCUCUACGGGGAGGCGGAGGAGGGAAAUUUUCGGAAAGGGGCGAAACCUUACCGAGGCACGGCCGGGGGGGUGAUAAAGGUUUCCGGAUCGAAAAACUUUGUUAUUAGGAAGAACAAUAUGGUUAGGAACCAUUGCAGUUCUGACCGGAACUAAUCCAGAAGGCAACGCUAACUUAGGU